Molecule: ribosomal RNA, 1491 nt
Filed under: metagenome
Description: bacterial SSU rRNA
Rfam family: Bacterial small subunit ribosomal RNA
Source: RNAcentral
AGAGUUUGAUCCUGGCUCAGAUUGAACGCUGGCGGCAUGCCUAACACAUGCAAGUCGAACGUGAAAGGGCUUCGGCCUGAGUAGAGUGGCGGACGGGUGAGUAACGCGUAGGAAUCUGCCUGGUAGUGGGGGACAACUCGGGGAAACUCGAGCUAAUACCGCAUACGCCCUACGGGGGAAAGCGGGGGAUCUUCGGACCUCGUGCUAUCAGAUGAGCCUGCGUUGGAUUAGCUAGUUGGUGGGGUAAAGGCCUACCAAGGCGACGAUCCAUAGCUGGUCUGAGAGGAUGAUCAGCCACACUGGGACUGAGACACGGCCCAGACUCCUACGGGAGGCAGCAGUGGGGAAUAUUGGACAAUGGGGGCAACCCUGAUCCAGCAAUGCCGCGUGUGUGAAGAAGGCCUCGGGUUGUAAAGCACUUUCAAUUGGGAAGAAAAGGGGUUGGCUAAUACCCGACCUUCUUGACGUUACCUUUAGAAGAAGCACCGGCUAACUCCGUGCCAGCAGCCGCGGUAAUACGGAGGGUGCGAGCGUUAAUCGGAAUUACUGGGCGUAAAGCGCACGUAGGCGGCGUGUUAAGUCAGAUGUGAAAGCCCUGGGCUCAACCUGGGAACUGCAUUUGAUACUGGCAUGCUCGAGUUUGGUAGAGGCAAGUGGAAUUCCGGGUGUAGCGGUGAAAUGCGUAGAGAUCCGGAGGAACAUCAGUGGCGAAGGCGACUUGCUGGACCAAAACUGACGCUGAGGUGCGAAAGCGUGGGUAGCAAACAGGAUUAGAUACCCUGGUAGUCCACGCCGUAAACGAUGUCAACUAGCUGUUGGGCUCAUUAAAGGGCUUAGUGGCGCAGCUAACGCGAUAAGUUGACCGCCUGGGGAGUACGGCCGCAAGGUUAAAACUCAAAGGAAUUGACGGGGGCCCGCACAAGCGGUGGAGCAUGUGGUUUAAUUCGAUGCAACGCGAAGAACCUUACCAGCCCUUGACAUCCUGCGAACUUUCUAGAGAUAGAUUGGUGCCUUCGGGAGCGCAGAGACAGGUGCUGCAUGGCUGUCGUCAGCUCGUGUCGUGAGAUGUUGGGUUAAGUCCCGUAACGAGCGCAACCCUUGCCCUUAGUUGCCAGCACGUAAAGGUGGGAACUCUAAGGGGACUGCCGGUGACAAACCGGAGGAAGGCGGGGAUGACGUCAAGUCAUCAUGGCCCUUAUGGGCUGGGCUACACACGUGCUACAAUGGCCAGUACAGAGGGUUGCCAAGCCGUGAGGUGGAGCUAAUCCCACAAAGCUGGUCUAGUCCGGAUUGCAGUCUGCAACUCGACUGCAUGAAGUCGGAAUCGCUAGUAAUCGCGAAUCAGCAUGUCGCGGUGAAUACGUUCCCGGGCCUUGUACACACCGCCCGUCACACCAUGGGAGUGGGUUGCAAAAGAAGUAGGUAGUCUAACCUUCGGGAGGACGCUUACCACUUUGUGAUUCAUGACUGGGGUUAAGUCGGAACAAGGUA